ACCCCCUUAGCUCAGUUUGGCAGAGCAACGGAUUCUUAAUCCGUGGGUCCGGGGUUCGAGUCCCCGAGGGGGUACCA
This 77-nucleotide transfer RNA is filed under the name Planctomycetota bacterium. RNAcentral's name for it is "Planctomycetes bacterium (salt lake metagenome) tRNA-Lys". It matches the Rfam family "tRNA". From Rfam's summary of the family: Transfer RNA (tRNA) molecules are approximately 80 nucleotides in length. Their secondary structure includes four short double-helical elements and three loops (D, anti-codon, and T loops). Further hydrogen bonds mediate the characteristic L-shaped molecular structure. tRNAs have two regions of fundamental functional importance: the anti-codon, which is responsible for specific mRNA codon recognition, and the 3' end, to which the tRNAs corresponding amino acid is attached (by aminoacyl-tRNA synthetases). tRNAs cope with the degeneracy of the genetic code in two manners: having more than one tRNA (with a specific anti-codon) for a particular amino acid; and 'wobble' base-pairing, i.e. permitting non-standard base-pairing at the 3rd anti-codon position. RNAcentral also lists the same sequence under 1 other name. Lineage: Bacteria; Pseudomonadati; Planctomycetota. The record is from RNAcentral.